GAUGAACGCUGGCGGUGUGCCUAAUACAUGCAAGUCGAGCGAACGGACGAUAAGCUUGCUUCCCUGCUGUUAGCGGCUGACGGGCGAGUAACACGUGGAUCACCUACUUAUAUGUCUGGGAUAACUUCGGGAAGCCGGAGAUAAUACUGCCUGAUACUUUGUACCGCAUGAUUCAAAAGUGAAUGACGGCCUUCCUGUCACUUUUAGAUGGUUCCGCGCUGCAUUAGCUAGUUGGUAAGGUAACGGCUUACCAAGGCAACGAUGCAUAGCCGACCUGAGAGGGUGAUCAGCCACACUGGAACUGAGACACGGUCCAGACUCCUACGGGAGGCAGCAGUAGGGAAUAUUGCGCAAUGGGCGCAAGCCUGACGGAGCAACGCCGCGUGAGUGAAGAAGGUCUUCGGAUCGUAAAACCCUGUUAUUAGGGAAGAACAUAUGUGUAAGAAACUGUGGACGUCUUGACGGUACCUAAACAGAAAGCCACGGCUAACUACGUG
Molecule: ribosomal RNA, 497 nt
Filed under: uncultured bacterium
Lineage: Bacteria
Description: partial 16S ribosomal RNA
Rfam family: Bacterial small subunit ribosomal RNA
Source: RNAcentral